GUCAUUGGUGAUUUUUAGUUGCUAAGUUGUGUCCAACUCUUGCGACCCCAUGUACCUGUCAGACUCUUCUGUCCAUGGGAUUUCCCAGGCAAGAUUACUUGAGUGGAUUGCCAUUUCCUUCUCCAAGGGGUUUUCACAACCCACGGACCUAACCCAGCUCUCCUGCAUCGCAGUCAGAUUCUUUACCAUCUGAGCUAUCAGGGAAUCCCUUAUGUCACUGUGCUAUAUCUAAUAAUGAAUACAAAUAUUAGUCAAAAUAUCUCUUCAAAAUAUUGUUCUAAAUUAUUAUGUGAGUGAUUAAAAACUUUAGGGAGCUCUGUGCCUCUAUAAUAAGGGGAGCAUAAUUUAAUUUGGGGGAAUCAAAGAAUAAUUUAUGGACUGCUAAUGAGGUUAAAUACAAGUGACAAGGUGAAGUAGUUGAGUAUGUGGGACUGCAGGCAGAGGUAGCAUGUGCAAAUACUGGUAUAAUAAUAGAUCAGCAUUCAGUUUGACUGUUUGUGCCCCUGAAUUGCAUGAAUUAGAGAGUGGUUUGAAAUGAGAUACAAGAGGCAAGUUAGAACAGAUAGUUCUGGGUCUUGAAACCCAUAGUAAGGAUCUUAGUUUCUUAUACUCAGUCAUGGGCUCUUAGUGUUAAGAACUGAUAUGUUUCUUUAUGUUUAAAGUUUACACUGGCUACAUAGUACGUGAUGAACUGGGGGAAACAACUGUAUAUUUGGAGAAUAUUUAAAUCAAUAUUUCAGUAGUUCAGAAAAGAGAUGCUGGUAGCUCUGUCUGGUAGUUAAAGAUGGAGACGGAUAGGGACUCACAGAUGAGAAUUUUUUUUUUUUUUAAGUAAAAUCAACAGAACUUGGUGAAUUUUUGGACAGAGUUAUUAGUGAAGGAGUUUUGUCAAGGGUAUAGCUUUCUCAGAUUCUGGAAUUUUCUUUCCAGGUAUCUGACUUGGGAGGCUAAGUGAAUUUUUGACAUAUGAUUCCUAGUUCCUUUCACAUUUCUGAGUUGAAAUGUCAAGCGACCUCUUGGAUGUAUGGGAUAUAUAAGGGUAGCGUUACGUUCAGUUGGCAUUCAUAUCCUUUCGCUAUUUACUUUUUCCUCUCUGGACCUUCUCCAGUAUCAUUCUUAAAAUGUGAUGACCAGAAGUGCUUGCAGUAUUCAAGGUACAGGUGCACUAAGGUUUUCUACAAGAAUAGGAUAAUAUGGGCUUUUUGGGAUUUGCUUUUGCUUUUAUGUUUGCUGGCUUCCAAGAGCUCUCCUGAGGGUGUUAAGUAUUGUAUUGGUGUCUUUGUCUACUGCAUUUCAUUGGCUUGAUGUCCACAGGGAUGAAGCUCCAGCUUCCAACACUGAUACUCAUCAUAUUGUCUUAAGGGUGUCACAGAUGCCCUCAGCUGCUGUUAUAAGCUGGCAAUUCAAAUAUCCCUUUUGCCACUGCCUGAAUGAAGCCCACUCUAACAGAAGGAAUGUGGAUGAAUGAAGAUGUCAAGCUCUCUUUGAGGUCACUACCUUUAUCCUAGUCAUAAGUAUUCUGUAAACUGAUGUUUUCUACCCCUAACAAUUGCAGUAUUCAAAUAAAAUGUUAAUUUUCCCUAAAAAGAAAGGGCA
Molecule: long non-coding RNA, 1596 nt
Filed under: Bos indicus x Bos taurus (hybrid cattle)
Lineage: Eukaryota; Metazoa; Chordata; Mammalia; Artiodactyla; Bovidae
Description: lncRNA (ENSBIXG00000027347.1)
Source: RNAcentral